Molecule: long non-coding RNA, 822 nt
Filed under: Cottoperca gobio
Lineage: Eukaryota; Metazoa; Chordata; Actinopteri; Perciformes; Bovichtidae
Description: lncRNA (ENSCGOG00000022904.1)
Source: RNAcentral
ACAAUGAGCUAAGUCUGCCGGCGUUCUGAGAAAGGGCUUGAGUUGCCAAUGAUUGGGGGAGAUAUGAUACUUGACAUAAUGUUUCAUCGUCCAAAUGUCAUCAGGAAGAGCGUCAUAAAAGAGAAGCGUCGUCCAACUAUCUUAACGGUGAGAAAUGUGUUUCUGUUUCCCAGAUUCAGAGGAGGGAGAUUAAGAUGAGCGUGCUGGUGAAGCAGCUGACGGAGAGGAAGAAGCGGCACUCUGAAUGUCAGAAGGAGUUGGUCCAAAGAGAGAAGGCUUCGGGGGAAGUCUGCGAGGAGAGGGACGAGCUGAGAGCCAAGAUGGACGACCGGAGCAGAGAGUGUGUCCACCUCAACCAGACCAAAGACAGACUGGAGGCUGACUUGGCUGUGAGCCAUGAGAAACUCCACACCUUGCACCUGGAGGUCCAUCUCUCUGUGUGUGUGUGUGUGUGUGUGUGUGUGUGUGUGUGUGUGUGUGUGUGUGUGUGUGUGUGUGUGUGUGUGUGUGUGUGUGUGUGUGUGUGUGUGUGUGUGUGUGUGUGUGUGCGCGUGUGCGUGUGCAUGUGUCAGAGCAAAAUCAUAUGUUGUUAACUAAAUAUUUAACUACUAAAGGUACAUGAUGGACUAAAAUGUAUUUUUCUCUGCGUGUUCAGGUUCGGAGCAGAGAUCAGUUCAUUCUGCAGUUAAGAGCUGAAAUGAAGACGGCUGAACAAAAGCACGAGAGGAAACAGGAACAGGUGUGUGUGUGGUGGCUUCUUUGUGUCUGUAUGUUGAUUUGCAUUUUUCCUAUCAUUUCCAUCUAUUUCCAUCCUCACCAGGG